CAGUGCGUAGUGUAGGAGCAACACGCUCGGUUUGGGCCCGAGGGAUCGCAGGUGCAAGUCCUGCCGCGCUGACCA
This 75-nucleotide transfer RNA is filed under the name Verrucomicrobiota bacterium. Its description in RNAcentral is "Verrucomicrobia bacterium (drinking water metagenome) tRNA-Pro". It matches the Rfam family "tRNA". From Rfam's summary of the family: Transfer RNA (tRNA) molecules are approximately 80 nucleotides in length. Their secondary structure includes four short double-helical elements and three loops (D, anti-codon, and T loops). The record is from RNAcentral. Lineage: Bacteria; Pseudomonadati; Verrucomicrobiota.